AGAGAGGCACAAACCUGUAUCACGAUUAUCCAAAAAAAGAGCAGGCACCAAAAUAACACCAGUUCAGUUUUUCCUUCUGAACUGCCCUGUGGAAAAAAGUCCCAAACCCUCUGAGGAGCUGACGCUCUUACAGGCAGGUUUGGGAAGAAGGACUGUGAAUAUUCCAGAUAAUGCCAGCCAUAAAGAGAUUACAAACAUUCUUUGUGAGACCUAUCCAAAGAUGUCUGAUCUGGAGGGGUCAUGGAUGCUUCACAAAGCCAUGGGUGGAUCUGGGCAACGAAAACUGAACCUGUUGUCCCCUGAAGAAGAAGGAUACACAGGGGCCAGUCUUGUGAAGAGCUGGGGAGGCAAG
Molecule: long non-coding RNA, 352 nt
Organism: Melanotaenia boesemani (Boeseman's rainbowfish)
Lineage: Eukaryota; Metazoa; Chordata; Actinopteri; Atheriniformes; Melanotaeniidae
Exons: 3
Source: RefSeq, a predicted model, not a curated record